Molecule: long non-coding RNA, 565 nt
Filed under: Homo sapiens (human)
Lineage: Eukaryota; Metazoa; Chordata; Mammalia; Primates; Hominidae
Description: non-protein coding lnc-DIAPH2-8:1
Source: RNAcentral
GGCAAAGGAGUUCCUAAGAAGCUGAGAGGCACACUGUCAUCAUAUGCAUUCUUUGCAGACUUGUUGGGAGGAGCACGAGAAGGAGUACCCAGAUAGUUCAGUCAACUUUCGAGUUUCCAAAGAAGUGCUCUGAGAAGUGGAAGACCAUGUCUGUGAAAGAGAAAGGAAAAUUUGAUGACAGAAAAGACAGACAAGGCCCUUUAUGAAAGAGAAGUAAAAACAUAUAUUCAUCCUAAAGGGGAACCAAAAAGAAGCACAAGGAUCCCAAUGUACUCAAGAAGCAUCCUUCAGCCUUUUUCUUGUUCUCUUCUGAAUAUUUGCACAAAAUCAAAAGAGAACACCCCAGCCUAUCUGUUGGUGAUGUUGCAACAAAACUGGAAGAGGUGUGGAAUGACACUGCUGCAGAUGACAAGCUCCCUUAUGAAAAGAAGGCCAUGAAGCUGAAGAAAAAAUACUAAAGGAAAAAUGCUAAAGAAAAGCCUGAUUCAGCAAAAAAGGGAGUCAUCAAGGCUGAAAAAAAGCAAGAAAAACAAGGAAGAGGAGGAUGAUAAAGAAGAUGAAGAUG